This 711-nucleotide long non-coding RNA is filed under the name Olea europaea subsp. europaea. The record is from RNAcentral. Lineage: Eukaryota; Viridiplantae; Streptophyta; Magnoliopsida; Lamiales; Oleaceae.
GAAUUGUUGACGCAGUUAAUGCACGUGAAACGCCGAUCUCCUUUGAUGAAAUUCAUGAAAAACUCAUCAACAAAGAAGCGUCUCUCCAACAAUCACAUGCACCACCAUCAUUCGGCCACCGCCAAUCCAGUAAAUCAACGCAACAAUCAUUCUUGGCGCCCUUCCACAAACACCAUUCAUAAUCAACAAUCCAAUGCUCCUCGUAAUGCUUGUCCUCCACCACGUCCGUAUCUUGGGCAUUGCCAAGGAUGUGGUGCUCAAGGACACACUGUCAAACGAUGCCCUAUUUAUCGACUUAUCAACACCCAAUCCUCAUUGGCUCCUUCAGCAACACGCCCACAGGCUCCACAUCAUGCUUCUUCUUUGCAACCGCAUGCAUACUUUGCAUCUCUUGACACCACUGACACCCUCACAUGGCUACUUGAUAGUGGGACAUCGCACCAUGUCACCACGGAUUUGAAUAAUCUUUCACUUCACACUCCUUAUGCAGGGUUGGAUGAUGUUAUGAUCAGCGAUGGCUCGAGUCUUCACAUUACCCAUACUGGUUCCACCACCCUUCAUACUCGUACUCGUACCUUUAAUUUACGUAAUAUUCUUUGCGUACCUAACAUGAAAAAGAACCUUAUUUCUAUCUAUCAAUUUUGCAAUACUAAUCAUGUUUCUAUUGAAUUCUUUCUCACUGCCUUUCAUGUAAAGGAUCUGAGCACGGGG